This 546-nucleotide long non-coding RNA is filed under the name Vitis vinifera (wine grape). RNAcentral describes it as "long non-coding RNA (VVIN_LNC003840)". Lineage: Eukaryota; Viridiplantae; Streptophyta; Magnoliopsida; Vitales; Vitaceae. The record is from RNAcentral.
CUUCCCAUAUUAAUCUCUAGUCCAUCCGAAAAACUAGUAAGACUGCGAUGAUGAUAUGAAACUCAGCACUGGAAAAGCUCAAGGGCUAGUGGUUGAGUGGGGUUGGGAAAGAGAAGGGAAGGGUAUGUCCUUUGGAAGGGUUGGGAUGGUAGGUAGUGUGGGCUUAAGCAGGUCAGGUAGAUGGGGCAGACUAGGCAAUUCUGGCAGUUCAGGCUUCUCCAAAGCUGGGACAUGUGGAACGGUUGGCAAUUCAGGCUUGGGCAAAGUCGGCAGCUGGGGCUCUUGUAGAGUUGGGACAUGAGGCAGAGGUGGAAGCUCAACCUUGGGAAGAGGUGGCAGUUCAAAUUUAGGCAAAGUAGGGAGUGUAGGAAGAGGUGGCAAUUCCACCUUAUGAAGCUCAGGAACCGUAGGCAAUGUGGUUUCGAGAAGGUGACGAGAUGCAAGAACUUCUUUGCCACUCAUUAGGGACAGAGUGAUGAGCAGCAGAGGCAACAGAAUGGAUGGUUCAUGGUGAUGAGCCAUUUCUGAAUUGCUAAAAGACUGAGA